Molecule: unclassified non-coding RNA, 198 nt
Filed under: uncultured Ascomycota
Lineage: Eukaryota; Fungi; Ascomycota
Description: sequence contains ITS1
Source: RNAcentral
CCGAGAUUUUUUUGUUCUUUGAACAAAAUCUCCCACCCUUUGUGUUACCAAAUUUUAUUACUUUGGUGAAUCGUUUACUUAGUAUUCGUACUAAGUAACCAUCGAUACUUGCGAGAGUAUGGAUGUGUAUUUGCCAAAGGAACCAAAUAACUCUUUUAUUUUAUUAUCAAUUGUCUGAGUUUAUAUUUUAAAUAAACA